This is a non-coding RNA of Heterocephalus glaber (naked mole-rat), 2656 nucleotides long. The record is from RefSeq and is a predicted model, not a curated record. Lineage: Eukaryota; Metazoa; Chordata; Mammalia; Rodentia; Bathyergidae.
UCCACUUGCUCCUGAAGAUUGUAAGUGAUUUGCUUUUAGCAUACCCUCGACAAAUUUUAAGGAGCCUAUGAAGAGAUAUCAUUGGAAAGUAUUGCCUCAGGGUAUGGCUAAUAGUCCUACUUUGUGUCAGAAAUUUGUAGUUCAGGCAGUAAAUAAAAUUAGGCAAAUAUAUCCCUAAAUCUAUAUUGUUCAUUAUAUGGAUGAUAUACUUCUAGCUCAUGGACAAGAAGGCCUCUUAUUAACAGCCUAUGCUCAUUUACAACAAGCUUUAAAGGAUUACGGAUUGAUGAUUACACUGGAAAAGGUUCAGACUGAGCCACCAUAUUCCUAUUUAGGAAAUAAGUUAUAUCCCAAAUCCAUAUUACCUCAGGUUCAAAUUAGGAAAGACAAUUUACACACUUUGAAUGAUUUUCAGAAAUUGUUAGGAGAUAUUCAUUGGCUUAGACCAUAUUUAAAAAUCUCCACCGGAGAAUUGAAACCUUUAUUCGAUAUCCUCUGGGGAGAUUCUGAUCCUACAUCUGUUAGAAAAUUAGCUGAAGGUCAGAUGGCCUUGUGUGAGAUAGAACAAGCUAUAGAAUGACAGCAAGUUCAAUAUAUAGAUUAUGCUCGAGGAUGGGCUGCCUAUGUUCUGGUGACAGCACAUGCUCCCACUGCCAUUUUAUGGCAAGAGGGUCCCUUGCUUUGGUUGCAUUUGCCUGUUUCUCCAGCCAGAGUGUUAACUCCCUAUUAUGAAUCUGUGGUGUGCCUGGUUCAUAUGGCGCGUGAGGAAUCUCGAAAAUAUUUUGGAGCAGAGCCUUCCUUAAUUGGAGUCCCAUUUACCAAACAACAGUUAGAUUGGCUAUUCCAAAAUGUGGACAUGUGGGCCAUUGCAUUUGCACAUUACCCUGGAUGUAUAGAUAACCAUAUCCCCAAGGAUAAAUUAUUGCAAUUUGUUAAUAUUCAUGCUUUGGUGUUUCCCAAGAUUAUGAAACAGGAACCCAUAAAAAAUGCUCAAGUAGUUUUCACUGAUGGGUCUUCCAAUGGUAUUGCGGCAUAUGUUAUUCAGGAAAAGCCACAGAUUGUCCAUACAGCCCCCACCUCCGCUCAGAUUGUUGAGCUUCGCGCUGUCGCUGUGGUAUUUGAACUUUUGGCCCAUUAUUCUUUCAAUUUGUAUACAGAUAGUCAUUAUAUUGUUAAAGCUUUACAGGUGCUUGAAACAGUUGCUUAUAUUGAUGUGGCUAAUAAUCAAAUACAGGAGCUCUUUGCUCAGAUACAAUGGUGCAUACAUACCCGGACCUGUCCUUGUUAUGUGGGUCACAUUAGGGCUCAUUCUGGGCUUCCUGGACCCCUGGAAAAAGGAAAUGAUCUUGCAGAUCAGGCCACACAGCUAGUAGCUUUCAGUCAAUUGGAAUUAGCUCAGCAGUCUCAUGCUCUACAUCAUCAAAAUAGCCACAGCUUAAGGAAGCAAUUCCAUAUAACUCGAGAAGCUGCUCAACAAAUAGUUAAGCAAUGUUCUGCCUGUCCUAUACAUCAUUCUGUCCCUCAUUAUGGGGUAAAUCCCCGCGGCGUUAAACCUAGUCAGUUAUGGCAAAUGGAUUUUACCCAUAUUGCCGAAUAUGGAAAACAGAAAUAUAUACAUGUAAGUAUUGAUACCUUUUCGGGAUUUAUUAUGGCCACCGCACAAGCUGGAGAAGCUACGAAACAUGUGAUAGCCCAUUGUUUAACAUGCUUUGCCACAACUGGGGUCCCUAUCAUUCUUAAAACUGAUAAUGGCAUGGGAUAUACUAGUAAAGCUUUUCAAAUCUUUUGUAAACAGAUGGGUAUCGCCCAUAAGGCAGGUAUUCCUUAUAAUCCACAAGGCCAAGGGAUUGUGGAAAGAGCCCAUGGUGCUCUAAAAAAUCAAUUGCAAAAAAUAAAAAAGGGGGAGUUAUACCCUUUAUCCCCACAGAAUUAUUUACAUCAUGCUCUCUUCAUCCUGAACUUUUUGAUUGUGGAUGCUUAUGGAUUGACUGCAGCAGAAUGGCUGUGGCAUCCUAAAGCUAAAUCAUCAUAUGCUCAAGUGAAGUGGAAAGAUCCCCUCAAGGGUGUAUGGAGUGGCCCCGACCCGGUAUUAAUAUGGGGACGAGGUCAUGUUUGUGUUUUCCUUCAGGACACUGAAGGUGCCAGGUGGCUGCCUGAAAGAUUGGUCCAUUUUGCGGGAAAUUCUCCUGCCCCUUAGGAUGAUCCCAACAACUGUUCUGCUGAUAAAUCUAAUGAUGACGCUUAAUGAGAAGGUUUAUUGGACUUAUGUACCUGAUCCACCUGUUGUACAUCCAACGAGCUGAAAAAAUGGAGAAGUAAUGGUAUGGGUGAACAAUACCAGGCUGUUGGAUGAGCCAGCGGCACCUGACAAGAACGAGGUCCGAUUGUUCAACUAUAUGGGAUCAGAAACCAGAACCCCCAUAUGUUUCUUCAAAAUCAACAGAACUGAUUGUAUAAGACUGAGCGCUCGCACCCUGGCAGGAAGACUUGGGACCCAGCACUCGCCCAAGUUGCAAAAGCGUGGGCAAAAAAUUGUCUCUUUGGACACAACCCACAGCUGAAGUCACACAGGCUCCACCCAAACUUUGAUUCACUGGGAGAAAAUAUCUGGACUGGAUCUUUGUUCCUGUUUUCAGUGUCUUCAGCCAUCUCAAAU